This is a long non-coding RNA of Alligator mississippiensis (American alligator), 16798 nucleotides long. RefSeq lists it as uncharacterized. The record is from RefSeq and is a predicted model, not a curated record. NCBI's taxonomy places the organism in Eukaryota, Metazoa, Chordata, Crocodylia, Alligatoridae. The transcript is spliced from 23 exons.
UCCCUCCCCCCUCAAGGCCAGUGCCCCUCGCUCCCCUUUUCUAUGCUGAUGCUGAAACCUGUCUAGAGAGCAGGUUGCAAAGCACCACACUUUCAUUUUUUAAGCAGAAAAAGAAAUGAAAAAACCUGUUGUUGUUCAGGAAGCACCGCAGGACAUCAGUUCAACUUCAGGGGAGUUUGAGAUGUGUGGUAUACAGAUUCUCACCUGUGCAGGAGGGAGGAGGAGGCUAACAGCAGAUUGUCUCCACUUUGCAAAUGUCUUUUAAAGCUUUCCUCUGUUCACAUCGAAUGUUUACGUGUGGUUUUUGCUUUGUUUUUUAAAUGGAUAUUCCGAUACGUGUCAAGCAGAUUGGCGUCGCUGGAAGUUUGGGAAUGGGAGCGAAUCCGUUUUCCAGCGGACUUGGGAGAUGUCAAUGAGCGGGGGCCCGUGUCCCUGGAAAAAAUACAACUCUGGAAGGGAAGAGCACUGCUCAUCUCUUUCCCUGCCCACCUGGGAAUGCUCCUUGUCCUGUUUUGUUUCUUUUACUCUGCUGUCUAGACCGAUUUUUCAUUUACAAAGGUUCACAAAACCAAAAAUCAGUUGGUGUUUUAAGCUGCUUUUUUCCCACCUUUUCAGGAAGCAGUUACUCAUCUUUGGUCUUGCCUGGUAUUGAAGGCUGGAGAAACAGAUUCUUAUUGUACUUUCUCAGGCCAUUGCUUGUGAUGUAAAUGCAGGCUUAUUACUUGUUAACAGUUGCAAAGAGCAUGUUCAUCUAACACAGGAGGUACAUGGUCCCACUAGGGACCUCUUACUGGACUUGGUGCUGGCGACAGGGGAUGACCUGGUAGGGAAUUGACUGACUCGAGGUAACCUAGGGGACAGUGACCAUCCACUGAUUGGAUUCACUAUCUGGCACAGGGUGGGAAAAAUAACCAGUAGGGUAGGAGUGCUAGACUUCAGUGUGGUCAGGAGAUUAGUUAGCGAGGCGCUGAAGGACAAGAGCACUGGUAAGAUGGGAGUCCAGGAAUGGGAGUUGUUCCUAAAGGGAGCAAUCCUACAGGUGUAGGAGAAGAUGAUCCCGUUGCACAGGAGAGGGGAAAGAGGGGCCAAGAAACCCUCCUGGCUGAACAGCAAAAUGCAGGAAAACCUAGGGGCAAAAAAGAGGCAUAUAGACAGUGGAAGCAUGUGAGAUUUACCAAGGUGGAGUAUACCUACUUGGCCUGCACUUGCAGGGAGGCAGUUAGAAAGGGUGAACCAGAAAUGGAGCUUGGGCUGGCAACAAAAAUUAAAAACAAGUAAAGUCUUUCUUUAGGUGUAUAAGGAGUAAAAAGAAGGUGCCAUGGUAGCAUAGGAACCCUACAGGACAAAGUAGGGUAAAUAGUGAUAGGUGGGGUGAGCGGGGCAAGGUUGAGCUCUUCAGUGAGUUUUUUGCUUCUGUAUUCCUGAACAUGGAACAGGACAGGUCUCCCAGUUGGAUGCUAGACAGGCAUAAAAGGGACACCAGCCCACCAAGUGUUUGUGCCAACUUGGUGAAGAGGCACUUGGAAAGACUGGGUGUGUUUAAGUCAGCAGACCCACGUGAUCUUCAUCCAAGGGUGCCAAAGGAUUUGGCAGCAUUAUAGGAGAGCCCCGACACAGCUGUUUGAGCACUCGUGGCACUCGGGUCAGGUCCCAGAGGGCUGGAAAAGGGCCAGUGCGGUCCCUACCUUUAAGAAGGGAAAGGAGGAUCCGGGUAACUAGACACCAGUUAGUCUCACUUCUAUUCUGAGGAAAACCUUUGAAAACAUUAAGGAUCACAUUUGUGGGAGUCCUGGAAGGUGGGGGGAUGCUGAAGGGCAGUGAGCACAUAUUCAUAGCAGGUAGAUCCUGCCUGACUAACCUUGUUUCUUUUUAUGACCAGGUCACAAAAUGCUUACACACAGGAAUUGAGGUAGAUGUCAUCUACUUGCAUUUUAAGAAGGCCUUCAAUAUGGUAUCUCAUUCUAAUGUCAUUAAUAAACUGAGCCGCUGUCACGUAGAUGAUUACACGAUCAGGUGGGUGGCAAAAUGGCUCAGCGUCAUACCCAGAGAAUGGCGGUGGAUGGGUCGGUAUCGACCUGGAAAGAUGUGGGCAGUGGAGUCUGACAAGGCUCGGUCCUUGGACCUGUGCUGUUUAAUGUCUUUGUGAGUCACUUGGAUGAGGGCGUGGAAAGCACUCUGUCCAAAUAUGCAGAUGAUACCAAAUUUAUGGGUAACGUUAACAUGCUAAAGCAGAGGUCCUCAAACUGUGGUCUCUGGACCAGCGCUGGUCCACAAGCUCCAUGUAGGUGGUCCUCAGAAAGGUUGCAGAACAAUUGAGAAUCUCUGCAUUUGGCCCUGCAGUUGAUUACUUUUUUUUCCGGUGACGGAGAUUAAGCGGUCCGCUGAGACCCUCGGCAAUUUUCAAGCGGUCCGUGCAAAACAAAGUUUGAGAGCCGGUGCGCUAGAGGGUUGGGACCAAAUCUGUGGGCACCUGGGCAGGUUGGAAAAAUGGGCAGACCAGAAUAGGAUGCAGUUGAACAAAGACAAGUGCAAAGUGCUGCACCUAGGGAGAAGGAAUCACCGGCACGCUUACAGGCUGCGGGAGGGCUUUCUCAGCAUCAGAGCAGCGGAAAGGGAUCUCGGAGUCAGCGUCGAUACCGAGAUGAGCGUGAGUUGUCAACGUGACAAAGCGAUUGGUAAAGCUAACUGCACUUUAUCAUGUGUUCGCAGGUGCAGGACAAACAGGUCCAGGGAGGUGAUGCUUACCCUCUACGCGACAUUGGUCGAGCUGCAGUUGGAGUACUCUGUCCGGUUUUGGACGCCACACUUCAAGAGGGAUGUGGACAACCUUGUGAGGGUUCAGAGGAGGGCAAAAGCUAGUCCUUGCGCUCCUGUCCUUGGAACCAGCUUAUCGGCGAGGAAGCGCAGCGUGACAUUCGGAACCAAAAGGCCCGGAGUAGAAGGGCCCCCGACAUCCGUCGCAUCUGCAACGGGUCCCUGCGUGAGCUACUGAGAAACGAGCGUUUGGGGCCCGCACCGGUCUCUCGGAAACAUCCGAGCCAGCCCUGGCAGCAGGUGCCUGCGCGUUCCUGCCUCGUACGCGGUCAGGGAACGCUACGCACCAGCAGUUGCCUCGGCUUCUGACCGGACGCACGCCGUUUGCUCGCAAGCAUCCAAAGCUAGCACCUCCAGCGGCUGCAGCUGUUGCUUCCCAACUACUAGGAGAGCCUUGCAAAAGCAAUGGCCUGCCCCUGGGCCAGGCUGAUACCAGUGGCUCAGACCCAGGGACUUGCUGUUGUACCUCCCGGUGUCUGGAUUAGGUGUCGAGCACUUGGAACUCUGGCAGCUUCAGCACAUAUUAACCUCUCGUCCUCCUGUGGCCAACACCACGGAGCCCGUGACCCUAAUGUUUCUGUCAGCCUCUGUCCCACCCUUCCCCUGAAGGCCUCCCGUGAAAUCCCUUGUCCCAUCACAGUCUGCAGGUUGGCUCCAGCGGUAUUUCCCAGCUGCACGUGGAGAGUUGCAAGGGAGUGUCAGCGAGGAGCUGCAGCGUGAAAGAAGUGGGACUUGGAAAUAUCCAAGGGACCACGGGUAACAGUUUGACGGGCGUCACGUAGACUCGUUUUGCUGAAACUUUGGGAACGGGACCGAACCCAUUUUCCUGUGCGCUUGGACCUGCAGAUGGCUGGGGCCCGUGUCCCUGGGGAAACUCUGAGUCUGGAAGGGAGGAACACUGCUCAUCUCUCUCCCUGCCUGCCUGGGAAUGCUCCUUGCCUUGUGUUUGUUAGACUCUGCCAUUUAGACCUAUUUUAACUUGUAACAGGGUCACAAAACCAAAUGCCAGUUGCUGCUCGUAGCUGCCGUUUCCCAUCGUUCCAGAAAGCAGCUACUCGCUCUUGGUCUUGUCUGGUAUUAAAGUCUUGAGAAACAGAAUUUUAUUCCACUUUUUUUGGCCGUUCCUUGGGAUGUAAGUGUAGGCUCACAGCCUAUUCCUUGUAUGCCAGCUUAAGCACGUGUCGUUCUUAAGUUAGGCUUCUGGUAGGUGUGUAGUCUGCAAUACUGAGCGUGGUCUGUCAGGCCCUGACCAUAUUUUCAGUUUACACCGAGGGGAAUCUGCCCAUAGCCUUCCUUCCCCUUUCUCAUCACCAUCUUCGUAACAUCCCUGCCUCUUUACUUGUCGCUCAUUUCAGGAGCUGUUGUGUGCCAGUGCUUCUGUUCCCUGGUGCUUUCCCCGGGUACCCACCCUGUCUCCUGUACGUGGCGGAGGACCGGUUUAAGGAGUUGCACGGAGGGCCUCACAGAAGUCCUGUGUGGUCACGGGUUUACAAUGAAGACUUGCAGCUGUGUGUUACUAUUUCUGGGGUGUGCCGUGUGUGAGGUGCAGCUGUCAGAGGAACGCUUUGGAGAUGUCGCUCACGCAGGGAAGCAAAAUUGUUCUGCUCCCCACUACUGAGCUUUAAAGGGUGAUACCUGUGAGACAUCACAUCCCCUGUCCAAACCUGAGCCAUCUGAGCAGGGGAAGUGGCAUGGGAGCGGGGGCCAAGAUACCUGGUUGACAGCCCAGACUGCAAGUUGAAGGCUGCAAUGGAAGCGCUCAGAGUGUGGCCUGUCAGAUUCCAACAAAAUCUGUCAAGUCUCACAUGUAGCUUAUCACAAGGAAACGAAAAAGAAAAGGACAUGAGCAGGGGCCCAUGUUAGAGUCUUAGUGCAUUGGUCAGCGAUUGGGGGUGAGGGGGUGCAUGUCCCUCCUUCACUGCUUGUGUGUUGACUGUCAUUGUUAAAGGACCAGGGUUGGGGGCGGGGGCAUUCUUGGCUGCUUGGCCAAGUGCCUGGGGGAAGAGCUAGGAGGGAGGGGGAGGUUCAGCAACCCCGGACUGGCCAGGUCUCCCCCUGCCUCCCACAGGGCUGCGCUACCUGCUACUGGCAGUGACUCUGCCUGGAGCAGUUGGCAGGCCCUUGUAAGCAGCCUGCACUGCUUGGGAGAUGUGGGCUGUGACACCUUGGUUUUCUGGACUGUGGUAAGAAAGCAAACAGCCUUGUAGUACAGGCUUCAGUUGUGGGACUGCACCCUGUUGUUGAGACCCCCCCCAGGGGCUUAUUUCUUGUAUGUCCAUGCAGGAUAGUUGGAGGGGUGGGGAAUGGAAGGAAGAGGCAUGGAUGAGACCUGCAUCUUCUGUUCAGCAAAUUUCUGUAAGUAAUGUUAGUACUACUAAUAUUAUCCCUGUUCUGAUUCUUACUAUUACUAUUAUUUGUUUUCCCAUAUACUUUGCCAACAAAGCACCUGGCAGGUCCAGUAAGAAAAGGAAGUUUCCAAACAGGUGACAGAAGGAAACCAAAUGAUUUAAGUAUGCAAGUGGUGGUGGUGGUGUUGGGAAGGUUCAGGAACCAUGGGGGAGGCAAGAUUUUUUGUUAUGUCUUUUGUGGCAACAACAGCACGGUUUGGACGGACAGAAGCAAGGUUUUAGGCAUCCCAGUCCCCUUUUUCAGUCCUGGUUCCUUCCCAGCAUCCUGAGGAAAGGUACUGUCAUACCCCAAAGGUUGCCUGUAUCUUACAGUUGGUCUGGUAAAACAGGGGUCAAAAAACCUAUGGCCUGUGGUUUGGAUCCAGCCUGUGAAGAAACUGGUUCUAGCCCGUAGCAGUUCAACCAAGGAGCAGCACACUCCCACGGUGACAGCAGCAGGGACAUCCCCAGCAGCCUGUUGCCACUGCGUUCAGUUUGUUCUUUGUGCUGCAGCAGAAGCAGCCUCCCCAGGGUCCCGGCCCCUGCCUCUUUCUUUUGAGUCCCUUCACAGCCUGUGGAGAUUGCCGGGGAGCAAGCUGUCACGUUGGCAACGGUGCACAACGGCAAAAGAACGGCCCUUCCCUGCAAGGAAAGAUUGCACCUAACUCCGAGCGAGCAGAGCAGAGCAGAGCAUGGACACAGAGCGAGAUGCUCAUCAGUAGGGUAGUCUGGCCUUGCCGUUGCUAGGAGUGCCCAAGUAGGGAAGUGUUGGAAUAAUUUCUCAGCUUUUUCCCUAGAUCGCUCUAAGAGGAGAGGGGAGCGCUAAGCACACUUGGGUUCGUGCACGCUCCCCAUCGUUUUCAGAAGCGGACGGCAGGAGAAAGUUUGCGGUCAGCGAUAGCAGCACAAGGCCGCGCAACCAGGCUCGGGAACGUGGGGCUCUUUCCUAAACCAGGAGUGGCAGGACUUGCACAGCUUUGCCAGGAUCCUGGCUGUUGUGGAGAGACUUUGGGUUGGAGAUGGAUGCAAAGAAGUGGAGGCGUGGCAUGGUGAUGGAGGAUAGAGCAGGAGGAGUAGUGUGAUGGAAGAUGACCAAAGUCUGGUCCUGAGUGGAGAAGAGCUGAGGAAGAGGUGAAGAGCCCUGGAGCUGGUAUGGCGUGGAAGGAGUUGGAGACGGCCUGAAGCCAUGCUCACGUGAUCACCUGGAGCGAGCAGGUGCCUGCAUCGUAUCUGGGAAAGGGAUAGCAAGCAUGAGGACUGAUGGCGCACAAGGACUGAAGGCGCAGCGUGAUGCCAGGUGUGGAGCCAUCUUCUGAAGGCUUGAGGGCUGUGGAGCAGACUCUGUGAAGAUGAAGUGAAGAGUCCCAGAGAUGGUGCAGGAGGAAACGGGCAGCCCUGUUGUGACUUCCUGAUUUGCGUGGUGUGAGGCCUCUUCCCCUGUGGCAUCACCUGGCUGGAGUCUGGGGAGGUUUUGUGUGUAGCUUUGCAGGCGGUGCGUCUCCGCUCCCACUUCUUGCUGUGAGGAUGCCUGGAUAAGCAGCAGCAUGAUUGUGGCUGGGUGGCCUCAAUGUUGUGGGGGAGAGGAACAGAAGCGAGGCUUCUGCGGUGGUGGCAGAAGAUGGAGGAACUGGAUCCCGAAAGGUGGGCUGGGUUAAAGUGGGAGGCUGGGUUGCGUUUUCCCUGGUCGUGUUUGGGUGGGGAAGGAAACGCCUUGUGCGUGAUGGGGUCUGGAGCUCCGUGCUGUCUGGGAAGUGAUGCUGAAGCAGGGACUUGUGGCCCUUAGGGAUGCUGCAGAGCAGGGGGUGUAAGCCUGAAUUGGGUUUAGUUUGGUGGUGAGACCUGACUCCUUGUAAAGGCUGGAAAUUGUCCUUGAGUAUAUUAGGGGUUUCAGUGUUUGCCCCUGGCUUCUGGGUGCAGGUGACAGCAUUGGAUGUGCUGGGACAGAGGAGCGGGUGCGUGCGUGUCCGCCUCUGCCUGGCUGUUGCUGCUGCCACUGGUCUUCCUUCAGUUCUGGGAAUUGCACUCUGUCCUAUGUCUCUGGGUGUGUCACUGGUGUUUCUUUCUACUUUGAUAUCUAAAAUCACAGCAGCACUACUUCUUUCUUUCUUUGCUCUUCCCAGAGCUGGAAGGAUAGGUGUGUUUGCAACUGAAUUGAUCCCCUCAUUUGGGUGGGCUUUGACUGCACCCUGUGUGCCUCGCGUGCGAGUGGGGGUGUUAUGCUUUCGGUGUCCUAGGCUGCUGGGGGUGGGGGGCGUUGCCUCUGCUGUCAGUACUAUGAGAUGUGAAUACUGUUGCGUGUAGUAAUUGCUUGUUGUUUUGGGUGUGAUGUUAAUAUGUCGAGCGUGAGUGGAGAAGAGCUGAGGCGAAGAGACCUAGAGCCAGCGCUAGGUAGAAGCGGGUGGAGGAAGCAGGUGGUUGUGCAGCCAUGCUCGCUUCUGGGUCACCUGGAGGGAGGCCUCUGCCUGUUCGGUGGACCUGUGUGCAUGAGCAGAGCCUGCAGAGGUCCCUGCUUCCCCUGUGUGGAGAGGAUGGCAAGGAGGGAGGAGAGUGCGCCGGAGGAAGAGGAGCGCGAUGCCAGGUCCCAUGAGUGCUGUCUCUUGGGGGUCCUGACCUGUGCAGAGGGAAAUGACUGCUGGUUGAAGGAGUGAAGCUGAGCAGCGCCCACGGAGGGUGAAGCAGGAGGAACUCGAUGCCGCACGGCGUGUCGGUGCCGGAUGGGCAGUUCUGGCAAUUGCAGGUGCCUGUCUCCCGUAUGGGGAGAGGAUGGCAAGCAAGCAUGCUUGAGGGCUGGAGGAGAAGAGUGAUGCCAGGUGUGGCAAGUGCUGGCGGUCAGGGGAGUCCUCUUGCCAAGGCUUCAGGACUGUGAAGCAGAGACUGGAAGAAGAGGUGAAGAGCCCCAGAGAUGGCGGAGGAGAAAACGCACAGCUGUCUCCUGACUUCCCAAUUUGUGUGGCGUCAGGCCCCUGGCCCUGCGGCAUCACGCGGUUGGAACCUGCGGUUUCUGUUUUUCUCCAGCCCAGUCCUGGGUGUUGGGCAUUGACUAGGUAGGGUAGACGGCUGGAGAUCGAUCUGGAUGUUUCUGACUGGGUCCUGGUCCUUGGAGAGAAGUUUGAGCAGAGAAGGGUGGAAGAUGGAGGCAGAGAGGAUGGUGCAAGCGGGGGGUCUUUUUACCAAGACUUUUGGGGCAGGGAGGAGAAGUGGAGAUUGGGCAGAAGAAGAGAAGACAUCUUGAAGUCAUGAACCAUGGAGCUGCCUGUCAUUGGUGCAUGGAACAUGUGAUGGGUGCUUGUGCUGUAGCUCUGUCGUGAGGAGCAGGGCAGGGGCAGUGACAUGCUGAGGGCUGGAGAAGGAGCACCACAAAGAUGGCUGUGAGGCCUUGGUCAGGCGUGAAGUAUGUGAGCCAGGAGAGUCGUACAGCACACACGCAGGAUGGAGGGCAACAAGUCGAGCGGGGGGCUUCUUUGGCCAGGGCUGCUGUGAAAUCUGGCGUAGGGCUGGGCCGGCCGGUCCGAGUCUGUCGGACUCCACGUAUAGGAGAAACGACGGAUGUCUAAGGAGCUUGUGGGGCGUUUGAUCCGGGCUCAUCCCUGGCACUUGGGGUGCAGGCCUGGCCCCUCUCUGGGGUGUGUUGAGGUCAUCUGGCUGAGGCUCGAGGCUCCUAAGUGGGCAUCGGGAAGAAGAGGUGGAGAUAUAGCGCCUGUGACCUGAGGAAGCUGGUGAAAGAAACGGAUGUCGGCGCAUUCGCUUUGCGGUUGCCCGGUGUGAGACUUCUGCCCGUGCGGUGGCCCUGGGCUGGAAGCCUUGCUGCUUGAAGCCUGCGAUAGAUGUUGGAUUGCUGCUCCCUGUGUGGUGAGAAGGAUUGGCUGCAAUGACUGGAGGCCUGGAAAAGGAGCCGUGUGGCCAGGGUCCUGGCCUGCAUGGAGGGAAGUAGGUGAGAGGACUGCAUCGUGGAAGAGCCGUGGGACAGUGUUGGAUGACAGACACGGACCGGCCGGAUGUUGCCCGCUACGUUGGAAUGUCCCUUCUGUAUUGGGAUUCUGCCUUUGGGGUGUGGGGUGGGUUUGGGAGUGUCCUCAGCUUUAUGAUCCUGGAGCCAGGGGUUUGCAAGUAGUAUGUUUGGGUCAGUUUGUCUGUGCUGUGGGUGGACCUAGGGUGACCAGAGGUGAAAUCCAUUCCUGUGACCCUGUAGUUGGACGAGCACCCAGACACUUGCAGGAACCGCUGGGCAAGCAGGCCCAGAGCUUUCAACUGUUGAGCAUGGCAAUGCUGGAGCCAGCUAGCAUGGAAGCAGAAGGGCCGGCCGGGCGCGGGGCCUGGGCUGCCUCUGUGGCUUCUGUGCUAGUGAGGUUGAGAAUUGCAGUGCUGGGGGGUUGGAGGUUUUGGACCUGCUUGUGCAGGGUUCUUGUUGGUGUUGGGGUGCUGGUUCUGCUGGGUCAGAGCAAUGGGUUUUAUUCUGCCUGACUGCCAUGUUUACCGUGUCCUACAGGGCUGGGAGCCUGUCGUAGCAGCGUGUGUUUGGCUGGGGCGGGGUGGUUGUCUGGUUUGGUCCCUGAGCAGUGUGGUGAGCAUGUUUGUUAUUACCCUGAAAUAAAAUAGUUUUCUGAUAGCCUACUGUUAGGCUAACAAUAAUUUAGAUUAUUAAGAAGUAUUAGCUUUGCAGUUGAAUACAAGGCAUGACCUGUGGCCUAGCAAUGCCGCUGACCACAAGGCAGAAUGAUAGCUAAGCCUUUGCUUAUGUUAAGUAAUCAUUUUAACUGUGUUGACUAUUUUCUGAGUAAAAUGCAGCAAGUGAAUCUGUCUGUGUGCUGUAAACCAGAUACAGCAAGGAACAAGGUAAGAGGAAGAAGCCAUUGUUCUAAGUACAGUGAUCGUGUCCUUAAGAAGUAUCUAGUACUGUGCAAGUUUUUGCUAACAUAUCAUCAUGUUACUGUUACUUAUGUUAGAAAAUAUUGUUGGAAAAUCAAUGUGACCUUUGUAUGACCUUUGGUCAAUGCUGGCUGAUGCAACCUUGCAGUAAGGUUGCCAUGAUCUGUCAAUAUAGGCGGGCAGACAAGGUGAUUGGGCCCAACCGUGUGGGGUGAGCAAAGCCAAGCCAUCUUGGUGAUUUCCUCUGAGUUUUGCGCAUGCGUUAUGAAGGAGCUUAUGUAACCAGAGUUUAUAAAUCUAUGUGUUUGAGGUGCAGUCGGGGGUCUCUCUGCCCUUACGAGGACAGGGGACCUUUGGUCGAAUAAACUGAAAAGACCACGCCCUCGUCUCCUGCUUAUUGUAGUCUCAGGUGGGAAACGAGCCCUGUUCGGGUUAAGAGAGUCUGCAGGUGUUCCCUUACCAGAUUGGGAGCCUGGUCAGACAAUUUCUCUCACAAUUUGGCGAGCCAGCCAGGAGCACCCAGCUCGUCGCGCUGCCGCUGCCGCCUAAACCCAACCUCCGGCCGGCCGUAACAGAGGUGAGUUCACCACGGGAGUCUUGGGUUGAGGCUGCAGACACGGCGGGACGAUAAGGUGACUCCUUCAAUUUUACUGGCACGGUGUGGUCUUUUAUAUGUUGUGUAUGUCUUGUCUAACGUGUUAUAGGCCAGUCUGUUCUCCGGUUCCUCAAACCUGGGCGCACAGGCAAUUUUAGUUAAUUGCCCGUUCGACUCUUUUGAGCCGAUAAAUCUGUGUGGCGCAUUUUAUGUCUCCAUUCGCGCACCGAGGAACCGUCUCUGUUUCUGACCUUUUAACUGGAUAAGUCCUCCAACCUGUUUGAGGCAUCCUAGAAGCCUGCCUUUCCAGGUUGGUUAGGUCUAGGGCAGCCAAGAAAGCAGGGUUUUUGGGGAGCUUAAUAGUAUAUCAGGUCAUCUGGGAAAGGGAUGUCCGCCAAGAAUGACGAUGGGACAGAAACAGUCAAUUCUGGCUAGUAGUCCUCUUGGAGAAUUGUUAAGCAACUGGAAUAAGUUAUCUGGACAUGGCCAAUUGAGUAAGAAGCGCGCUAUAGCCUUAUGUACUAGUGUCUGGCCCGGCUACACUUAUAAAAACCCUGAACUUCAGUGGCCAGUGUUGGGAUCCCUCAGUGUAGAUAAAUGAAGGUACCUCAGGGGGUUCCUAGAGGAACCCCAUCCCCGACUAAUGGAUUAUUGGUAUCUCUGGUGUGAUUUGAUGGAUUUAAUUCUGCAGAGGAAAAAAAAACUGAUUACUUCUGGCCGCUCAACAACGUCUGUGGUGUCUUCUCCCCCUUAUUCUCCCGCUAUGCCACCAUUGGUGACUAGGGGACCAGCCAUAAUAAACCCGGCCGCUUAGGCCGUGGCCCUUCCGGCACCUUUUACCCCUUCAUCAGGCUCCUCUCCUCCCGUAACAGGAGUGUCAGGGUCUGUACCUGCCUCCUCGGAGCCUACUUUCAGUCCCAUAGCAGGACAUACUAGGUAGCGUUUGAAUCAGGUCAUACACCUGCUCUUGUACACAUGUAAUGACAUCUGCACACCCCCAUCACACAUGCAGUCACGCCUGCUCAGAGUCCCUUACAGACAUGCGCCUGCACAGAACCCCAAAACACACUGCGACAUACACAUGUGCCCCAACAGGUGUGCGUGACACACUUGCACACAAAUAUGCAUCCUCGCACACAUGCAUGUGCAGUCUCACACACGUACCCAGAGCCCAGGUGCUUGUGACACGUGCAUGCUCACACACACAUGGAACUCAGGUGUCUGACACACAUGCAUAUGUGCUCUCGCGGACACAGUCUAGCACACAUGUACAGAACCCAAGUGUCUGUGGCACACAGGCAAGUACCCUGACAUAUUCACAUUCACACACACACAACCCCACAUGGGUAGAUAUGAAUCAACCUGCCCCCAAUGAUGUGUGCAAUUAUUGUAAACAAUUGGGGCAUUGGAGACGAGAACACCCAAACUGCCCUAAGGGACUUCCCCCUUAUGGAGGAAGAAAGGGGGGAACCCAGGGAAACAACCGGGCUGCCAGCACCGAUCCUACAGAUCCCUGGGUCCAGAGUUUGCAACAAGAUAUAGAUGACUCCCAGUGAAAUAAGGGGGCGGCUCUUCCACACGAUGUAUUUAGGGGAAUCUUCCUCUUUUGAGUAUACCUGCGCCCCUUCAUCCCCUUAUGUACCACUUCAAAUAGCAGGAAAAUUUAUAAAUGUCUUAUAGAUAGAGGAGCAGAUCUGUCCUCACUGGGAGAAUCUCCAGAAAGGGCGGGAAUUGCAGUCUCAGGAUCUGAAAAGAUUACGAGAGUAAUUGGAAAAUCUAUGCAAGUGCCCCGUGGCACUGAAACACAAGUGCAGAUAGGACCCUUGGCCACCAUUCAUGCUUUCCUAUUAGCUGAAGGAACUGUAGUGCACCUCCUUGGAAGAAAUCUACUCUAUAAACUACAGACCAGAAACCCUUCACCCUACUUACUCAUGAGAAUCAAGGCGUUGCUUCAGGUGUCUUAACUCAGCCAUGGGGAGUUUCUAAUCGUCCCAUAGCAUACUAUUCUGCUCAGUUAAAUCCUGUAGCAAGGGCAGCAAUUCUCUGUCUUAGAGCAGUCGCUGCUGCCGCUGUGCUAGUUCAAAAGGCUGAAGAUUUAGUGUUAGGACACUCUCUUGUGGUUGAAAUAUCUCAUUCAGUGGAAGCUCUCCUACUACAGCAGAACCUCUGCCAGCAGGGACCAACGCCCAGGCCGCUGAGCUAGCGGCACUCUGACGAGCAUGCAAAUUGGCCACAGCCUCCAGGGUCACUAUCUAUACUGACUCUAAAUAUGCUUUUAGUAUCUGUCAUGCGCUAGGACAGUCCUGGUGACAAAGAGGUUUUAUCACGUCCUCUGAUGCUGUAAUCAGCAAUGCCACGGAAGUCCAAGAACUGCUAGAGGCUGUCGUGUUACCAGGUGAUAUAGCGGUAAUGCACGGUCCCAGACAUUCCAGAGAAGAUACUGACAUCGCUAAAGGAAAGCAUCUCGCAGAUGCUGCAGCUAGAGCCGCUGCACUACAAACUAAAGGAAGUCUCCUUGCAUCUCAAGUUGUUCUUCCACCCUUGUCUGUGAUUUAUGACAAAGUCCCAGCGGAUGAAGUAUCUAUAUGGGUCCAAAAGUGGGAAGCUGCGCAAGGAAAGGAUGCAGUGUGACAUGUGCCAGACGGUAGACCAAUUGCUCCUCACACCUUGCUCCGAAGUCUGGCUCAGGAUGCCCACAGAUGCUGUCAGUCGGGAAAAGGAGAAAUAGCAGAACAGGUCCUCUCCACCUGGGUUGCUCCAGGUAUACAUCUAGAAGCUGCCCGAAUAACUCUGCAAUGUUCAGAGUGCAGAGCCUUCAACAAAUACAGAGGACACACAAAAUUACAAGGGGCCCGACCGUGGGCCUAUUUACCCUUUGAAAAACGACAUGGAUUUGCUCAAAGCUGUAAAUUUCAAGCAGUGCCUAGUAGUGGUAGAUCAAGUAACAGGAUGGCCAGAAGCUUUCCCCACUCGAGAAGCGGAUUCAGUAGCAGUAGCCAAACCCGUAUUAAAAGAAAUCAUCCCACAUUUCGGCAUUCCAGGAGGAAUAAACUCUGACCGGGGAACUCACUUUACAGAAACUGUUUUAAAAGAAGUUUACAGAGUUUUUGGAAUAAUAACAUACUUCCACGCACCUUAUCGCCCUCCGUCCUCGGGUCAGGUAGAGAGUAUGAAUCAGAGUAUAAAAUCCCUUUUAGGAAAGAUCUGCUCCUAAACCAAAUUGAAAUGGUCAGAUGCCUUACCAAGGGUGCUGUUUGCUAUAAGAACAAAACCCAAAUGGCCUCUCAACCUUGUCCCCCUACGAGUUGUUGUUUGGUCACGCUCCUGUUAUAUAAGAGAUGGGAAAAUCUGCAUGUUAGCUUACUGGGCGGAGAUGAAGCUUUAAUUAGUUAUGUUUUAUCCUUACAGGAGUCUCUCUAGUGUUUACACAGGUCAGCUGCUUUGGUUCAGCCGGUACCCCUGGACUGUAACCUUCACUCCUAUCAAUCAGGACGCUGAGUUUGGGUAAAACAACAUCGGCGAAAAACCGCCUCGGCCCAAGUCUGGGCAGGCCCGUACCAAGUUCUUCUUACUAUACACGCUGCUGUGAAAAUCGCCGAGAAAGAGGGCCGGAUUCAUCGCGGUCGCCUCAAACCUGGUAUCGGCAAGUAAUGACCGGUCAGCUGAUGUUCCGCCUCUAUGGCUAGAAAGAAUCGGAGAAUCGUGGACCGUUCAGACUCCUUAAUAGAAAUGAUACGUGUAUUAAGCUUGCUUUGUAUUAUCUUUCUUGUUAUACUUUGUGUUUGUAUUUCACUGUGGAUGCAGGGAAGGUUGUAAGUUAAUAAUGGCAUUUCACCGGGCUAUCCUAACAGGAUUAUUGCUCUUGAUGCAUAAAACACCAUGGCUAUUUAUGGGAAAGCGAUACAGAACAGGAAGACCAGUGGAAAGAUAAUACUUACCUGAUUUCCACUAUAGCUAUAGCACAGGCCCUAAAAUUUGUGUAAUGGUUGGAUAUGUGGUACACAGUCUCCUUCUACUAACUUUCCACCCUAUCCUUUAAUCUCUUGGGAAGGGAUUUUUUCUAAUCCAGAGUGGGUUGAUACGGAUAGAGCUGGAAUAAGUACCUGGCAGGACAAUCCUUAUUUUAAAGAGAGAGUACUUUCAGACAUCAUGUUAUCUGCCCAGGUGUGUUGGGAAAAUCCUCAUGGAAUAGGAAAAGAGAUUUUUAGGAUGGCAACCAGGUUGUAAACUAACCAUUAAUGCCACACACUUAAUUUGGCCUAACAAUACUGCAGUGGGGACUAAAGAAGCUGAAAAGAAAGGUUACAUCCCCUGGAAUGCGUCUGCUCCCUGCAGUUCCUUGCAGCGUCCUUAUGUAUGGCAAUGUAUGGAAGGUUCCAUCCGAUGCUCCGCCCCUUAUAAAACUUGGGCUUGGAGUCACGGCUGUUUCACGUCUUGCAUAUACAGCUCCUUUGCAAAGCCAAGUUGUUCGUAUGUUAACUAUACCAUUUACAGAGACGGUUCAGUACCUUGCCCCAGAGAUCGUCAUACUACCGCAUCAAUCAACUGGCACGUGCAUUAGAACUUAUUGCCAAUAGCACAGCAGAGGGCAUUGAAUUAGUGCAAGACCAGGCUUCUUGCAACCAUGCUAUGACUUUAGAAAAUCGCUUCGCUUUAGACUAUUUGUUAGCUAGAGAAGGAGGGGUAUGUGCUUUAAUCACAGGAGGACCCUGCUGCACCUAUAUUCCUGACCACUCUGACAACAUAACUGCUGCAGUAAAAACAAUUCGAGACACAGCACGACAGGUAAACUCUUUGCGAAGUUGGUCAGUAAUAGAACGGAUUGCCUCAACUUUAGGAAUGUGGGGAAGGUAUAUCUUAGAAUACAUUUUAUGGGGAUUAGGAAUCUUCUUGGUUAUUAUUGUAAUAAUUGCUGUAAUUACAGCCUGUGUAGUUUGAGUUAAGCAAAAAGUAAUUAAUCUCAAUAUUAUGCAAACCUGGGAAAUGGCUAGCAGGCCAUAGGCCUGUGGCUGUAAGGGGGGAUUGUUAGAAACUAUUGUUGGAAAAUCAGUGUGACCUUUGUAUCACCUUUGGGCAAUGCUAGCUGAUGCAACCUUGCAGUAAGAUUGCCAUGAUCUGUCAAUAUAGGCGGGCAAACAAGGUGAUUGGGCCCAACCAUGCGGGGUGAGCAAAGCCAAGCCAUCUUCGUGAUUUCCUCUGAGUUUUGCACAUGUGUUAUGAAGGAGCUUAUGUAACGAGAGUUUAUAAAGCUACAUGUUGAGUUGCAGUUGGGGUCUCUGUUCCCUUAUGCGGACAGGGGACCUUCGGCCCAAUAAACUGAAAAGACCACACCCUUGUCUGCUGCUUAUUGGAGUCUCAGCUGGGAAACGAGCCCUGUUUGGGUUAAGAGAGUCUGCAGGUGUUCCCUUACCAGCUUGGGAGUCUGGUCAGACAAUUUCUCUCACAAUUAAUUUGUAGCUUUUAGAAAGUGCUAGUUCAGCUUAAUAGAAAUAUGCUGUUAUGAAGAUUCGUAAAGCACCGCCCAAGUAUUGCUUUUGGUUAACCCUUGUAGUGCGCAAGUUUGUUAUUACCCUGAAAUAGAAUAGUUUUCUGAUAGCAUACUGUUAGGUUAACAAUAAUUUGGAUUAUUAAGAAGUAUUAGCUUAACAUCUGAAUACAAGGCAUGACCUGUGGCCUAGCAAUGCAGCUGACCACAAGGCAGAAUGAUAGGUAGGCCUUUGCUUAUGUCAAGUAAUCAUUUUAACUACACCAAGCAUUUUCUGAGUUAAAAAGUGAAUCUGUGUCUGUGUGCUAAAAAAAAUCAGCUACAGCAAAAAGUAAGAUAAAACAGAGAAAGCAUUGUUUGAGCUUACUGGUUGUGUCCUUGAAAAAUAUCUUCUACUGUAUAAGGUUUUGCUAACAUAAUGUUACUGUUACUUAACUUUUAGCUUUAAAAAGUGCUAGUUCAGCUUAAUAAAAAUAUGCUGUUACAAAGAUUUAUAGAUCACCGUCCCAAGUAUUGCUUUUUGUUAACCAUAUAGUUUUGCUUUGUUGUAAAAAAAAUAUAAAAGAUCGCCUCACCCUUGAGGGGGGGCCUUUUUGCCUUUUGCUGGCUUUAUGGUCUUUGCUCGAGCAAAUAAACAGCUGUCUUUCUUUA